This 429-nucleotide ribosomal RNA is filed under the name Bacteroidota bacterium. RNAcentral describes it as "Bacteroidetes bacterium partial 16S ribosomal RNA". It matches the Rfam family "Bacterial small subunit ribosomal RNA", at positions 355 to 776 of the family's 1533-position model. The record is from RNAcentral. Lineage: Bacteria; Pseudomonadati; Bacteroidota.
UAGGGAAUCUUCCGCAAUGGACGCAAGUCUGACGGAGCAACGCCGCGUGAUUGAAGAAGGAUUUCGGUUCGUAAAACUCUGUUGUUAGAGAAGAACAGCGCAUAGAGUAACUGUUAUGCGUGUGACGGUAUCUAACCAGAAAGCCACGGCUAACUACGUGCCAGCAGCCGCGGUAAUACGUAGGUGGCAAGCGUUGUCCGGAUUUAUUGGGCGUAAAGCGAGCGCAGGCGGUCAAUUAAGUCUGAUGUGAAAGCCCCCGGCUAAACCGGGGAGGGUCAUUGGAAACUGGUUGACUUGAGUGCAGAAGAGGAGAGUGGAAUUCCAUGUGUAGCGGUGAAAUGCGUAGAUAUAUGGAGGAACACCAGUGGCGAAGGCGACUCUCUGGUCUGUAACUGACGCUGAGGCUCGAAAGCGUGGGUAGCAAACAGG